Molecule: non-coding RNA, 91 nt
Filed under: Paenibacillus sp.
Lineage: Bacteria; Bacillati; Bacillota; Bacilli; Caryophanales; Paenibacillaceae
Description: c-di-GMP sequence
Rfam family: c-di-GMP-I riboswitch aptamer
About the family: GEMM was predicted in a large-scale screen for bacterial structured RNA regulatory elements.
Source: RNAcentral
GAGAUUUUGGGGCAAACCGGUUGAAAAGCCGGGACGCAAAGGCAUGGGUCGUCGAUUUCAACCGGGAAAUAACGAUUGCCAGUCUGCAUUC